GACGAACGCUGGCGGCGUGCUUAACACAUGCAAGUCGAACGGAAAGGCCCUGCUUUUGUGGGGUGCUCGAGUGGCGAACGGGUGAGUAACACGUGAGUAACCUGCCCUUGACUUUGGGAUAACUUCAGGAAACUGGGGCUAAUACCGGAUAGGAGCUCCUGCUGCAUGGUGGGGGUUGGAAAGUUUCGGCGGUUGGGGAUGGACUCGCGGCUUAUCAGCUUGUUGGUGGGGUAGUGGCUUACCAAGGCUUUGACGGGUAGCCGGCCUGAGAGGGUGACCGGCCACAUUGGGACUAAGAUACGGCCCAGAGUCCUACGGGAGGCAGCAGUGGGGAAUAUUGCACAAUGGGCGGAAGCCUGAUGCAGCAACGCCGCGUGCGGGAUGACGGCCUUCGGGUUGUAAACCGCUUUCGCCUGUGACGAAGCGUGAGUGACGGUAAUGGGUAAAGAAGCACCGGCUAACUACGUG
Molecule: ribosomal RNA, 468 nt
Filed under: uncultured bacterium
Lineage: Bacteria
Description: partial 16S ribosomal RNA
Rfam family: Bacterial small subunit ribosomal RNA
Source: RNAcentral